Molecule: long non-coding RNA, 1002 nt
Organism: Cinclus cinclus
Lineage: Eukaryota; Metazoa; Chordata; Aves; Passeriformes; Cinclidae
Exons: 3
Source: RefSeq, a predicted model, not a curated record
CUUUCUCCUUUUGUAGGUAUGUGUUUUGGGCCUAUAUAUGUUCUGGAACCCUUUUAGGCAUUGUUUCAUGCAAAUAUAUGUAUACUUAUUAGAAAGUAAUGAAUAAUUUAAUAAUUUGUAAAACCAUAGGAUAACCAUGGUAAGUAUUGUGUUAAAUAAUUGGAAAAAUUCUAAGAGAAUUUCCUAUGGUACUCCUUAAUUCGUUCCCCCUGUUUAAGUUUUCCGAGAUGUCAUCUGUCUGGUAGGUAUUCUGUUUUUUGAGGGGUCUGGUGGUGUUUGAUUUUUUUUUUUUUUGCUUGGUUUGUUUUCUUUAUUUCAGAAAACCAUCACAAAAACAUUAUUUUAUGAGGAAGAUACUUUGAAUUGUGUGUCACAAGCACUAAGGUGAUGUCUUUAUAUUUUGCCAGUGAGGACCAGAACUGAAUAUGUGAAAUGUUGAAAAGAAAUCUUCCCCUUUGGUAAUGCUCAGUAAAGAGGUUUUAAUGCAGCAGUACUAUGACAAGAGGAACAUAAAAAAUAAAGGAGGAAAACUUUCUGUGCUUGUGCUGUAUCCAGAGUUUCCAAAGGGCAACUCUUCUUCAUCGCUUGUAGACAAGAAGACCUCGUUCACCUCCUACCCCUACAGUUCUGGAAGGAAAUCUAACACGGUUCCUAGAAAACCUCUGGAGGUCACAGCGUUCCUCAGUCAGCCUUGGGACUCUGCCCUGGAAGCUGGAUCUUUCUAGUCCACGCUCAUUUCCAGAUCUGCGCUGUUGACUAUGCACCAAAUAUCUCCUCAUAAUUUACAUCUUUUUGCCAGCUCCAGCAGCAGAUUUAGGUCUAAUGCUGUGUCAGAAACUCCUUGUGUUCCCAAAAACCCUUAGUCAAUUUGUGUUUCUGCAUGCUGAGCAAGAGGAUUUCUGCCCGUAAUAAAUAUUAGUAGACAAAAGCUGACAUACAGUGAUGUAGUUUCCUUAUGUAUUUGAAUGUUGUGGAUUUGAAUUUCUGUGAUUUAGAAAUAGU